Molecule: transfer RNA, 63 nt
Filed under: Lacerta viridis viridis
Lineage: Eukaryota; Metazoa; Chordata; Lepidosauria; Squamata; Lacertidae
Description: transfer RNA-Cys
Source: RNAcentral
UAGCUCUGUGGUGUUAACGUCAAAAUGCAAAUUUGAAGACGCACCCGUAAAGGUGCCGGGGCU